This 247-nucleotide unclassified non-coding RNA is filed under the name Ascomycota sp. Its description in RNAcentral is "partial contains small subunit ribosomal RNA, internal transcribed spacer 1, and 5.8S ribosomal RNA". The stretch from base 1 to 47 matches the Rfam family "Eukaryotic small subunit ribosomal RNA", at positions 1785 to 1831 of the family's 1831-position model. The record is from RNAcentral. Lineage: Eukaryota; Fungi; Ascomycota.
AAAGUCGUAACAAGGUUUCCGUAGGUGAACCUGCGGAAGGAUCAUUAGAAAAUCCAGGAGUGUUCAACACUCUUGGGCACUUUUCUAACCACAUUGUUGACCCUUACCACUGUUGCUUUCACAGCAAUGCAAAUUUUUGUACUGCUGUGAAUAGAUCUUAUCUAUAACCUUUGUAAUUAGCUAUGUCUUUGUCUGAUAAUUAAAAAAGAAUGUUUUAAAACUUUCAACAACGGAUCUCUUGGCUCCU